This 494-nucleotide ribosomal RNA is filed under the name uncultured bacterium. RNAcentral's name for it is "bacterial SSU rRNA". It matches the Rfam family "Bacterial small subunit ribosomal RNA", at positions 327 to 793 of the family's 1533-position model. The record is from RNAcentral.
UCAGUCCGACUCCUACGGGGAGCAGCAGUCGGGGGAAGUAUUGCACAAGUGGGACGCAAGCCUAGAGUACGCAGCCAUGCCGCGUGUGUGAAGAAGGCCUUACGGGUUGUAAAGCGACUUUACAGUCGUUGAGGAAGGGUAGUAGUAGUUAAUAGACUGCAUUAUUUGUACGUUAGCGACAGAAGAAGCACCGGCUAACUCCGUGCCAGCAGCCGCGGUAAUACGGAGGGUGCGAGCGUUAAUCGGAAUUACUGGGCGUAAAGCGCAUGCAGGUGGUUCGUUAAGUCAGAUGUGAAAGACCGGGGCGUCAACCUCGGAAUAGCAUUUGAAACUGGCAGACUAGAGUACUGUAGAGGGGGGUAGGAAUUUCAGGUGUAGCGGUGAAAUGCGUAGAGAUCUGAAGGAAUACCGGUGGCGAAGGACGCCCCCUCGGACAGAUACUGACACUCAGAUGCGAAAGCGUGGGGAGCAAACAGGAUUAGAUACCCUGGUAG